CCUACGGGCGGCAGCAGUGGGGAAUAUUGGGCAAUGGGGGAAAGCCUGACCCUGCAACGCCGCGUGGGGGAUUAAGGUUUUCGGAUUUUAAACUCCUUUUGUUGGGGAAGCUAAUAACGGUAUCUAACGAAUAAGCACCGGCUAACUCCGUGCCAGUAGCCGCGGUAAUACUGAGGGUGCAGGCGUUACCCGGAAUCACUGGGCGUAAAGGGCGCGUAGGCGGGAUAGCAAGUCAGAUGUGAAAUGCUAUGGCUUAACCAUAGAACGGCAUUUGAUACUGUUAUUCUAGAGUAUGGGAGAGGUAGGUGGAAUUCUUGGUGUAGGAGUAAAAUCCGUAGAGAUCAAGAGGAAUACUCAUUGCGAAGGCGACCUGCUAGAACAUAACUGACGCUGAUGCGCGAAGGCGUGGGGAGCAAACAGGAUUAGAUACCCGGGUAGUC
Molecule: ribosomal RNA, 440 nt
Filed under: uncultured bacterium
Lineage: Bacteria
Description: partial 16S ribosomal RNA
Rfam family: Bacterial small subunit ribosomal RNA
Source: RNAcentral